This is a long non-coding RNA of Sarcophilus harrisii (Tasmanian devil), 208 nucleotides long. RefSeq lists it as uncharacterized. The record is from RefSeq and is a predicted model, not a curated record. Lineage: Eukaryota; Metazoa; Chordata; Mammalia; Dasyuromorphia; Dasyuridae. The transcript has 2 exons.
UCUGGAAUUUAGAACCUUCACAGACAAGAAGUUCAGCUUAAGGAGCAGCUGGAGGCAGCAAAAACUAUAGCCACUGCCAGAGCAAUGUGCCUUGCAAAGAUAAGGCCCAAUAUGUUCAGCUAUGCAAAGCACCCACCUAAGAUUCCUAGCAGCUUACGGCUUAGACCUAGUUCAGCGAAUUUCCUUGCAAGGUCCUUGGAAGACUGGA